UUUGAUCCUGGCUCAGAUUGAACGCUGGCGGCAUGCCUUACACAUGCAAGUCGAACGGCAGCACGGGAGCAAUCCUGGUGGCGAGUGGCGAACGGGUGAGUAAUACAUCGGAACGUGCCCAAUCGUGGGGGAUAACGCAGCGAAAGCUGUGCUAAUACCGCAUAAGAUCUACGGAUGAAAGCAGGGGAUCGCAAGACCUUGCGCGAAUGGAGCGGCCGAUGGCAGAUUAGGUAGUUGGUGAGGUAAAGGCUCACCAAGCCUUCGAUCUGUAGCUGGUCUGAGAGGACGACCAGCCACACCGGGACUGAGACACGGCCCAGACUCCUACGGGAGGCAGCAGUGGGGAAUUUUGGACAAUGGGCGCAAGCCUGAUCCAGCCAUGCCGCGUGCAGGAUGAAGGCCUUCGGGUUGUAAACUGCUUUUGUACGGAACGAAACGGCUCUUUCUAAUAAAGAGGGCUAAUGACGGUACCGUAAGAAUAAGCACCGGCUAACUACGUGCCAGCAGCCGCGGUAAUACGUAGGGUGCAAGCGUUAAUCGGAAUUACUGGGCGUAAAGCGUGCGCAGGCGGUUAUGUAAGACAGUUGUGAAAUCCCCGGGCUCAACCUGGGAACUGCAUCUGUGACUGCAUAGCUAGAGUACGGUAGAGGGGGAUGGAAUUCCGCGUGUAGCAGUGAAAUGCGUAGAUAUGCGGAGGAACACCGAUGGCGAAGGCAAUCCCCUGGACCUGUACUGACGCUCAUGCACGAAAGCGUGGGGAGCAAACAGGAUUAGAUACCCUGGUAGUCCACGCCCUAAACGAUGUCAACUGGUUGUUGGGUCUUCACUGACUCAGUAACGAAGCUAACGCGUGAAGUUGACCGCCUGGGGAGUACGGCCGCAAGGUUGAAACUAAAAGGAAUUGACGGGGACCCGCACAAGCGGUGGAUGAUGUGGUUUAAUUCGAUGCAACGCGAAAAACCUUACCCACCUUUGACAUGUACGGAAUUUGCCAGAGAUGGCUUAGUGCUCGAAAGAGAGCCGUAACACAGGUGCUGCAUGGCUGUCGUCAGCUCGUGUCGUGAGAUGUUGGGUUAAGUCCCGCAACGAGCGCAACCCUUGUCAUUAGUUGCUACAUUCAGUUGGGCACUCUAGUGAGACUGCCGGUGACAAACCGGAGGAAGGUGGGGAUGACGUCAAGUCCUCAUGGCCCUUAUAGGUGGGGCUACACACGUCAUACAAUGGCUGGUACAAAGGGUUGCCAACCCGCGAGGGGGAGCUAAUCCCAUAAAACCAGUCGUAGUCCGGAUCGCAGUCUGCAACUCGACUGCGUGAAGUCGGAAUCGCUAGUAAUCGUGGAUCAGAAUGUCACGGUGAAUACGUUCCCGGGUCUUGUACACACCGCCCGUCACACCAUGGGAGCGGGUUCUGCCAGAAGUAGUUAGCCUAACCGCAAGGAGGGCGAUUACCACGGCAGGGUUCGUGACUGGGGUGAAGUCGUAACAAGGUA
This 1489-nucleotide ribosomal RNA is filed under the name metagenome. RNAcentral describes it as "bacterial SSU rRNA". It matches the Rfam family "Bacterial small subunit ribosomal RNA". The record is from RNAcentral.